Molecule: long non-coding RNA, 576 nt
Filed under: Rhagoletis pomonella (apple maggot)
Lineage: Eukaryota; Metazoa; Arthropoda; Insecta; Diptera; Tephritidae
Description: uncharacterized LOC118740667
Source: RNAcentral
UGACAAAACCUAGUUCGAUCAACAAACCUACGCCUGUUAGGUCAGCUGCUUCCGUAGAUAACGCCUAUUUUACCAGAUGCUACCGAAAUAAAGCAAGAGGAUGUACCUCGAAUCCAACCUCAACCAUCACCACCAAUAGACAUGCUCAAUUUAAACCAGCUCCAACCCCAGCUGCCGGUGCAAGAUCCACAAGCCACAACGAGUGAAGCUAGUUUCGAUUUGCUUAGAGCAUUCGGGGAUGAUAAUUCACCUGGCAUUGGCUCGGCUCCAAUACCUGAUAUUUUAGAAAUUAAUGUACAACCAACUUCAAAUGCCAACCUUGAUGAUAUCUUCGGCUCAGUUGCUUCAUCGGCGCCGAAAAUCAACCUGGAGUUUAAUAGCUUUUCUGUAAACCAGCCGACACCAACUAGUGCAAACCAACCUGGUGUAUUGGUGUGUGUCGCGUCAGUCUCAGCAAAAUAGUCUUACAUCAACAACCAGAGCUCAGUACGUCAUAGUUAUUUUUCUUCUCUGUUUUUGGAAGCUAGUGCAAUGAGGUAUAGUUUUAAUAAACAUUUAUUCGAUUUGAAAUUUUUA